AGUCGAGCGGAUGAGAGGAGCUUGCUCCUGGAUUCAGCGGCGGACGGGUGAGUAAUGCCUAGGAAUCUGCCUGGUAGUGGGGGACAACGUUUCGAAAGGAACGCUAAUACCGCAUACGUCCUACGGGAGAAAGCAGGGGACCUUCGGGCCUUGCGCUAUCAGAUGAGCCUAGGUCGGAUUAGCUAGUUGGUGAGGUAAUGGCUCACCAAGGCGACGAUCCGUAACUGGUCUGAGAGGAUGAUCAGUCACACUGGAACUGAGACACGGUCCAGACUCCUACGGGAGGCAGCAGUGGGGAAUAUUGGACAAUGGGCGAAAGCCUGAUCCAGCCAUGCCGCGUGUGUGAAGAAGGUCUUCGGAUUGUAAAGCACUUUAAGUUGGGAGGAAGGGCAGUAAAUUAAUACUUUGCUGUUUUGACGUUACCGACAGAAUAAGCACCGGCU
RNAcentral lists this ribosomal RNA (443 nucleotides) under Pseudomonas sp. R1L4. RNAcentral's name for it is "bacterial SSU rRNA". It matches the Rfam family "Bacterial small subunit ribosomal RNA", at positions 60 to 498 of the family's 1533-position model. Lineage: Bacteria; Pseudomonadati; Pseudomonadota; Gammaproteobacteria; Pseudomonadales; Pseudomonadaceae. The record is from RNAcentral.